This 221-nucleotide long non-coding RNA is filed under the name Elaeis guineensis (African oil palm). RNAcentral describes it as "long non-coding RNA (EGUI_LNC052620)". Lineage: Eukaryota; Viridiplantae; Streptophyta; Magnoliopsida; Arecales; Arecaceae. The record is from RNAcentral.
CUCACUCUAUCUAUUUAGCUUUGUCAAACAUUUCUCAUAAGUCAUUAGUUAAGCUUAAAAUUUUUAGAAACCCAAUUCAUCCCCCCUCUUGGGUUGCAUAGCUGGGCAACAAGUGGUAUCAGAGCCCGAUGCUCUAGCCCUUCUUUGAUCUAAACAAUCAAAGAGCCAAAGAUCUAUGGCAACCCAUGUCGACACUUUUCUAGCCGAGGGGCAAUCCACCA